AAGAGAUUAGUUUAAUGGUAUAACGUCCAUCUUACACGUGGAAAAUUAUAGGUUCAAAUCCUAUAUCUCUUA
This is a non-coding RNA of Geotrichum reessii, 72 nucleotides long. The record is from the annotation of a GenBank genome assembly. NCBI's taxonomy places the organism in Eukaryota, Fungi, Ascomycota, Dipodascomycetes, Dipodascales, Dipodascaceae.